AUACGAAGGUCCCAAGCGUUAUUCGGAAUCACUGGGCGUAAAGAGUACGUAGGCGGUUUGGUAAGUCAGGUGUGAAAUCCCGGAGCUCAACUCCGGAACUGCAUCCGAUACUGCCAGACUUGAGUAACGGAGAGGCAGGUGGAAUUCUCGGUGUAGCAGUGAAAUGCGUGGAUAUCGAGAGGAAGACCAAUGGCGAAGGCAGCCUGCUGGACAUUUACUGACGCUGAGGUACGAAGGCUAGGGGAGCGAAAGGGAUUAGAAACCCUAGUAGUCC
Molecule: ribosomal RNA, 274 nt
Filed under: uncultured bacterium
Lineage: Bacteria
Description: partial 16S ribosomal RNA
Rfam family: Bacterial small subunit ribosomal RNA
Source: RNAcentral